This 687-nucleotide ribosomal RNA is filed under the name Triticum aestivum (bread wheat). RNAcentral's name for it is "partial small subunit ribosomal RNA". Lineage: Eukaryota; Viridiplantae; Streptophyta; Magnoliopsida; Poales; Poaceae. The record is from RNAcentral.
AUGAUAGACCAGAAAUAUUUGAGGGGUAAGACAAAUGUUUUUGCGCCCAGCACCUCCACUGUUGUUUCUAGGUUUUGGAAAGGAGUCAAAUCCAUCAUCCAAACUUUGAAAUUUGGAUAUAGAUGGAAGGUAGGAAUAGGAGAUAGGAUCAGGUUCUGGGAGGACACUUGGUUUGGUACCUCUCCCCUAGCAGUUUAGUUCUGGCACAUUUACAUGCUCUGUAGUGAGCAAACUAAAAGUGUUAAGGAAGUUUGGGAUGGUGAAAUCAUGAAACUAACUUUUAGAAGGAAUUUUGACAACAAGCUAAUGGAACAAUGGUACCAGCUUGUUGAGAUAGCUAAAGGGAUUGCCUUCAGCAAUGACCCUGACGCCCUCAUUUGGCAGCUUGAGAGCAAAGGGGUUUACUCCUCCAGCUCUUUAUAUCAUGUAAACAAUUUUAGGGGUGAGCAACCACUGUUUCUCCCUGCGGUUUGGAAACUAGUUGUGCCACCCAAGAUCCAUGUUUUUCUUUGGUUAGUUUCACAGAACAAGCUGAUGACAAGAGAUAGCUUGAGGAAAAGGCAUGUUAUGAAGCCACUAGAUUGUGUGUUCUGUGCCGAAAAUGGAACAAAUCACCAGUUAUUCUUUGACUAUGUGGUAGCCAGGAGUAUUUGGUCUUUUGUCAAUUAUUUUUUCAGAAGGAGCUAG